AUUAAGGACUUGAUGUAGAAAAAAAUUUUAAGUUAUGAAUUAGAAAUCGUAAAUUAUUAGGAAGUGAAAAAUUAUUGAUUUAAACAAAGUAGAUUAAUCAAGUGACAAUGAAUUAAUUUUCAUUUUUAUGAAGAAACUAUCUUUGCAAAUCAGAUGACUGAUAUAGAUUAAUGCAGAUAAUGUGAACAUUUUUAAAACAAGGGAAACUUAUGCUGCAAUUUUUUUCAUAAAAUUGUUAUAAAAUAUGAGAAUUUAAAUCCUAAGGCUAGUUAUCUGAAUAGCAUUGAAAAUGUGAAUUAUAAAUAUUUUAUCGGUUUUUGAACAUAUGUAGAUAUUAGUAAUUGCUUUCACAUCUAUUAAAGUUUAAAUUUGUUUUAUUUCCUGUAUACAGGGGGUUCUGUUUGCAACAAGAGUCCUUUCCUGAAGGAGCUAUCACAAAAGAACAGUGUAAAAUAGCCCAAUUACAUAAUGUAAAUCCAUAGGAAAUUAAUGAGUUAGAUUCUAGGCUUUCUCAGAACUGACAUAAAUAUUAAAGAAAAACAAAAGCACUAUAUGGCAGAUGAGUAUACACCAAAACAACUUUUAAUUGCAAACAUUUUCAGUAUACAAGACACCAUCAUCAGGCAAAACCUUGAACAAAAACAUAAAUAAUCAAACGUAAACAAUUUUUUAGAACAAAAAUCAAAAGUGGAUACUAUAGAUACAAAUAAAUAUUAAUGGGAGCAGGGAAGACUUCAUUAGCUUGCACUGUUCUAAAAAUGUUCAAAGUUUUGAACGUUCGAACUCUUUUCUGGAUAACUUUGAGAUAUUCUCUAGAGAGCUGGCUCUGCUCUUUUGUAGACAUAACUAAAGACUACUUUGACUGCCUUAAAACUCUACUAUUAAAGAAAAACAAAAGCACUCUACGGCAGAUGAGUAUAUACCAAAACAACUUUUAAUUGCAAACACUUUCAGUGUACAAGACGCCAUCAUCAGGCAAAACGUUGAACAAAAAUGAAAGAAUCGAACGUAAACAGUUUUUAG
Molecule: long non-coding RNA, 1023 nt
Filed under: Androctonus crassicauda
Lineage: Eukaryota; Metazoa; Arthropoda; Arachnida; Scorpiones; Buthidae
Source: RNAcentral